RNAcentral lists this ribosomal RNA (451 nucleotides) under Blastocystis sp. Its description in RNAcentral is "SSU rRNA". It matches the Rfam family "Eukaryotic small subunit ribosomal RNA", at positions 475 to 937 of the family's 1831-position model. The record is from RNAcentral. Lineage: Eukaryota; Bigyra; Opalinata; Blastocystidae.
AAAUCACAAUGCGGAACAAUGUUUUGCAAUUGGAUUGAGAACAACGUACAAACCUUAUCGAUAAACAAUUGGAGGGCAAGUCUGGUGCCAGCAGCCGCGGUAAUUCCAGCUCCAAUAGCGUAUAUUAACGUUGUUGCAGUUAAAAAGCUCGUAGUUGAAAUGAAGGGUAGUUGUGUAAUGAAUACAUUCGUGUAUUUUGUUAUUCUACUACCCUCCUUCUAAAUUCGAUAUAUGAGUAUUAAUUUACUUGUAUAUGGUUUUAGACCUUUACUGUGAGAAAAUUAGAGUGUUCAAAGCAGGCAUUUGCUUGAAUAUAUUAGCAUGGAAUAAUCAUGUAUGAUUUUCAUGAUGUAUUUGAUUGGUUUGGUUCAUGAGAAUAAGAUUAAAAGGGACAGUUGGGGGUAUUCAUAUUCAAUAGUCAGAGGUGAAAUUCUCGGAUUUAUGGAAGAUG